Cyprinus carpio carpio is the source of this 53-nucleotide small nucleolar RNA. The record is from Ensembl. Lineage: Eukaryota; Metazoa; Chordata; Actinopteri; Cypriniformes; Cyprinidae.
CUUCAGUGAUGACUUCCAUUUUGAGCCACAGGUGUGGGCCACUGAUUUAGAAA